CCUACGGGCGGCAGCAGUGGGGAAUAUUGGACAAUGGGCGAAAGCCUGAUCCAGCCAUGCCGCGUGUGCGAAGAAGGCCUUCGGGUUGUAAAGCACUUUCAGUGGGGAAGAAAGCCUUGGGGCUAAUACCCUCGAGGAAGGACAUCACCCACAGAAGAAGCACCGGCUAACUCCGUGCCAGCAGCCGCGGUAAUACGGAGGGUGCGAGCGUUAAUCGGAAUUACUGGGCGUAAAGCGCGCGUAGGCGGUCUGAUAAGCCGGUUGUGAAAGCCCCGGGCUCAACCUGGGAACGGCAUCCGGAACUGUCAGGAUAGAGUGCAGGAGAGGAAGGUAGAAUUCCCGGUGUAGCGGUGAAAUGCGUAGAGAUCGGGAGGAAUACCAGUGGCGAAGGCGGCCUUCUGGACUGACACUGACGCUGAGGUGCGAAAGCGUGGGUAGCAAACAGGAGUAGAUACCCGUGUAGUC
Molecule: ribosomal RNA, 465 nt
Filed under: Vreelandella stevensii
Lineage: Bacteria; Pseudomonadati; Pseudomonadota; Gammaproteobacteria; Oceanospirillales; Halomonadaceae
Description: partial 16S ribosomal RNA
Rfam family: Bacterial small subunit ribosomal RNA
Source: RNAcentral